Molecule: long non-coding RNA, 661 nt
Organism: Mercurialis annua (annual mercury)
Lineage: Eukaryota; Viridiplantae; Streptophyta; Magnoliopsida; Malpighiales; Euphorbiaceae
Exons: 2
Source: RefSeq, a predicted model, not a curated record
UGCUUUUAUCAAGAGCUUUAAAAGAUGCACUACGCUUGGCAGACUUGAACUAGGCUGUGUUGUAAGUUUUAGAAUUUUAAUUUUCAUGAAGCUGAGGGAUACAUGAUAUGUGCUAAAAUAAUUUUUGACUUGUAGAAAGAAAUUUAGAUCUGUGAAAGUUGUUACUAGUGGAAGAAUUAUUAUCUUUUGGUCUUGUUGGACGGUAAAUCUUGUGAACAGGCGUUUUUUUUUUAAAAUUGGGAGAGCUCUCUGCAACUAAGAUGUUUAUGGGGCAUGUAUGUGGCUUGAGCUAAACUUGCAGCAAGCAUCAGAAACAAGAAAUCGACAGUAGAAUCAGAAACACAGAAAUCAUCAGCAAAAACGAGCAGCAGUAGCAGAACCCAGAAAUCAUCAGCGGCUACAAUAUAAAUCAGCAGCUACAGCAACUAUAAUUGGCAGUGGCAGCAACAGAAUCAGCAGCGGUUAGGUUUACUGAAAGUUGAUGAAAAAAAGACAAAAGAAGAAAGUGGUGUGACGGCGGGAGAUGAGAAUUAGGGUUAUUUGAUUAGGGUAUAUAUAUGUAUAUAUAUAUAAUAUGUGCGUGUGUGUGUGUGUAAAGCUUAAAACAACUUAGUUUAGCAUUUCAGUUUUUUAUCUAUUAAAACGAACCGUUUUUUUUAAA